AGGACGAACGCUGGCGGCGUGCUUAAAACAUGCAAGUCGAACGAGACCUUUGGUCUAGUGGCGAACGGCGGAGUAAUACAUAAGCAACCUGCCUCAAAGACCGGGAUAGCCCUCGAAAGAGGGAUUAAUACCGGAUGUGGCCUUUUGUGGGCAUCCACGAAAGAUUAAAACGAGCAAUCGGCUUUGAGAGGGGCUUGUGGCCUAUCAGCUUGUUGGUGGGUAAUGGCCUACCAA
RNAcentral lists this ribosomal RNA (234 nucleotides) under uncultured soil bacterium. Its description in RNAcentral is "partial 16S ribosomal RNA". It matches the Rfam family "Bacterial small subunit ribosomal RNA", at positions 26 to 271 of the family's 1533-position model. The record is from RNAcentral.